RNAcentral lists this ribosomal RNA (253 nucleotides) under uncultured bacterium. RNAcentral's name for it is "partial 16S ribosomal RNA". It matches the Rfam family "Bacterial small subunit ribosomal RNA", at positions 524 to 777 of the family's 1533-position model. The record is from RNAcentral.
UACGAAGGGGGCUAGCGUUGUUCGGAAUUACUGGGCGUAAAGCGCACGUAGGCGGAUAUUUAAGUCAGGGGUGAAAUCCCGGAGCUCAACUCCGGAACUGCCUUUGAUACUGGGUAUCUUGAGUAUGGAAGAGGUAAGUGGAAUUGCGAGUGUAGAGGUGAAAUUCGUAGAUAUUCGCAGGAACACCAGUGGCGAAGGCGGCUUACUGGUCCAUUACUGACGCUGAGGUGCGAAAGCGUGGGAGCAAACAGGG